UUGGAGGGCAAGUCUGGUGCCCGCAGCCGCGGUAAUUCCAGCUCCAAUAGCGUAUAUUAAAGUUGUUGCAGUUAAAAAGCUCGUAGUUGAAUUUCGGGAUCAAAUUGUCGGUCGUGCCUCGGUACGCACUGGUAUUAUUGGUUCCUACCUUCUGAAGAACCGCGAUGUCAUUAAUUUGGUGUCGUGGGGAAUCAGGACUGUUACUUUGAAAAAAUUAGAGUGUUUAAAGCAGGCUUACGCUUGAAUACAUUAGCAUGGAAUAAUGAAAUAGGACGUUUGAUUCUAUUUUGUUGGUUUCUAGGAUUGACGUAAUGAUUAAUAGGGAUAGUUGGGGGCAUUAGUAUUCAAUUGUCAGAGGUGAAAUUCUUGGAUUUAUUGAAGACUAACUACUGCGAAAGCAUUUGCCAAGGAUGUUUUCAUUAAUCAAGAACGAAAGUUAGGGGAUCGAAGACGAUCAGAUACCGUCGUAGUCUUAACCAUAAACUAUGCCGACUAGGGAUCGGAUGAUGUUAAUUUUUUAAUGACUCAUUCGGCGCCUUACGGGAAACCAAAGUGUUUGGGUUC
This 564-nucleotide ribosomal RNA is filed under the name uncultured Glomeromycotina. Its description in RNAcentral is "SSU rRNA". It matches the Rfam family "Eukaryotic small subunit ribosomal RNA", at positions 548 to 1114 of the family's 1831-position model. Lineage: Eukaryota; Fungi; Glomeromycota. The record is from RNAcentral.